RNAcentral lists this ribosomal RNA (756 nucleotides) under uncultured bacterium. Its description in RNAcentral is "bacterial SSU rRNA". It matches the Rfam family "Bacterial small subunit ribosomal RNA", at positions 8 to 796 of the family's 1533-position model. The record is from RNAcentral.
AGAGUUUGAUCCUGGCUCAGAAUCAACGCUGGCGGCGUGCCUAACACAUGCAAGUCGCACGAGAAAGGGUAGCAAUACCUGAGUAAAGUGGCGCACGGGUGAGUAACACGUGACUAACCUACCCUCGAGUGGGGAAUAACCUAGAGAAAUCUGGGCUAAUACCGCAUAACACUUACGAGUCAAAGCAGCAAUGCGCUUGGGGAGGGGGUCGCGGCCGAUUAGCUAGUUGGCGGGGUAAUGGCCCACCAAGGCGAUGAUCGGUAUCCGGCCUGAGAGGGCGCACGGACACACUGGAACUGAAACACGGUCCAGACUCCUACGGGAGGCAGCAGUGGGGAAUUUUGCGCAAUGGGGGAAACCCUGACGCAGCAACGCCGCGUGGAGGAUGAAAUAUCUUGGUAUGUAAACUCCUUUCGAUGGGGAAGAUUAUGACGGUACCCAUAGAAGAAGCCCCGGCUAACUUCGUGCCAGCAGCCGCGGUAAUACGAGGGGGGCAAGCGUUGUUCGGAUUUAUUGGGCGUAAAGGGUGCGUAGGCGGUUUGGCAAGUCUGAUGUGAAAUCUAUGGGCUCAACCCAUAGUCUGCAUCAGAAACUGCCGGGCUUGAGUAUGGGAGAGGUGAGUGGAAUUUCCGGUGUAGCGGUGAAAUGCGUAGAUAUCGGAAGGAACACCUGUGGCGAAAGCGGCUCACUGGACCAUUACUGACGCUGAUGUACGAAAGCUAGGGGAGCAAACAGGAUUAGAUACCCUAGUAGUCC